Molecule: ribosomal RNA, 465 nt
Filed under: uncultured bacterium
Lineage: Bacteria
Description: partial 16S ribosomal RNA
Rfam family: Bacterial small subunit ribosomal RNA
Source: RNAcentral
GACGAACGCUGGCGGCGUGCUUAACACAUGCAAGUCGAACGGAAAGGCCCUGCUUGCAGGGUACUCGAGUGGCGAACGGGUGAGUAACACGUGGGUGAUCUGCCCUGCACUUCGGGAUAAGCCUGGGUAACUGGGUCUAAUACCGGAUAGGAGCCAUUUUUAGUGUGAUGGUUGGAAAGUUUUUUCGGUGUAGGAUGAGCUCGCGGCCUAUCCGCUUGUUGGUGGGGUAAUGGCCUACCAAGGCGGCGACGGGUAGCCGGCCUGGGAGGGUGGACGGCCACAUUGGGACUGAGAUACGGCCCAGACUCCGACGGGAGGCAGCAGUGGGGAAUAUUGAAAAAUGGGAGCAAGCCUGAUGCAGCGCCGCCGCGUGGGGGAUGACGGCCUUCGGGUUGUAAACUCCUUUCGCUAGGGACGAAGCUGUUUGUGACGGUACCUAGAGAAGAAGCACCGGCUAACUACGUG